Vulpes vulpes (red fox) is the source of this 98-nucleotide small nuclear RNA. NCBI's taxonomy places the organism in Eukaryota, Metazoa, Chordata, Mammalia, Carnivora, Canidae. The record is from Ensembl.
GUGCUCACUUAAGGAGCACAUAUAGUAAUAUAUGAACAAUACAUCCUUGGCCCCUGUGCAAGGACGACACACAAAUUUGUGAAGCAUUCCAUAUAUAU